GUGAGUAAUCUUUAACUUUUUUCUCUUUUUUCUUGGUUGUUGAUACUCUUUUAUGGUUUUUAUUUCAGAGGUAAAGAUUGAAUCAUCUGGUUUGUUAUGAUUUUGUUGGGCUUGGAUUUUGUGAAUUUAGGGUUUGGUGCGUCGAGAGAUGAGGAUCCAGGAUUACUGCAUAUGGAUGAAGAUCGAUGGAGCCUUAUGCGCAGGUACGUUUUCCGGCAACGAGUUAAGAUCUAGCAGUGGCAUAGGAUUCAAUUAAUGUUUCGAGUUUUGAAAGAUACAGGUGAUUGCAUCUUUGUAUUGAUUGGUGAGAGUUAUAUCCAUCACCGUUAGGGUUUUUGUGACAAUGUUCAUUUUUAUAGGGUUUGAAUUCUGUUUUUGGGGUGAUUGUUAUUAAUUUGUUAUAGACAAUUUGUCGGAUUGUUGAUGUUAUGAUAGAUUUGACAUGUUCUGUCUAUUUGGAGGUAAUUAGAUGAAGAGCUUUGUAUCUUGAAUUGGGAGAAAUUAAAAGGAGAAACGGUAACUUUCAAGUGAAACCCAACAACGUGUCUCUCGGGUCAGAUUGCAACCAUCAUCUGCUCCUAACUUAUUCCAGUUCGGGUGAUUUUGUAUGGGAUAGGAAUUAAUCCAAGUAGGUAUCGUGGGUGGUGCUAGAUUAUUUAUUAUGGAUGGAAGAAAUAUUGAGGCGUGCAAUUGAUAAGGAUUGAAUUUGGAUGAACUUGAGAUUAAAUCAACAAUGGUCAAG
Molecule: long non-coding RNA, 742 nt
Organism: Helianthus annuus (common sunflower)
Lineage: Eukaryota; Viridiplantae; Streptophyta; Magnoliopsida; Asterales; Asteraceae
Exons: 3
Source: RefSeq, a predicted model, not a curated record